UACGUAGGGGGCAAGCGUUAUCCGGAUUUACUGGGUGUAAAGGGAGCGUAGACGGCAGUGCAAGUCUGGAGUGAAAGGCGGGGGCUCGACCCCCGGACUGCUCUGGAAACUGUACGGCUGGAGUGCAGGAGAGGUAAGUGGAAUUCCUAGUGUAGCGGUGAAAUGCGUAGAUAUUAGGAGGAACACCAGUGGCGAAGGCGGCUUACUGGACUGUAACUGACGUUGAGGCUCGAAAGCGUGGGGAGCAAACAGG
RNAcentral lists this ribosomal RNA (253 nucleotides) under uncultured bacterium. RNAcentral's name for it is "partial 16S ribosomal RNA". It matches the Rfam family "Bacterial small subunit ribosomal RNA", at positions 524 to 776 of the family's 1533-position model. The record is from RNAcentral.